AUGAACGCUAGCGGCAGGCUUAACACAUGCAAGUCGAGGGGUAUAGUUCUUCGGAAUUAGAGACCGGCGCACGGGUGCGUAACGCGUAUGCAAUCUACCUUUCACAGAGGGAUAGCCCAGAGAAAUUUGGAUUAAUACCUCAUAGUAUUUUCGGAUCGCAUGAUUUGAUUAUUAAAGUUCCAACGGUAAAAGAUGAGUAUGCGUCCCAUUAGCUAGAUGGUAAGGUAGCGGCUUACCAUGGCGAUGAUGGGUAGGGGUCCUGAGAGGGAGAUCCCCCACACUGGUACUGAGACACGGACCAGACUCCUACGGGAGGCAGCAGUGAGGAAUAUUGGACAAUGGGCGCAAGCCUGAUCCAGCCAUGCCGCGUGCAGGAAGACGGUCCUAUGGAUUGUAAACUGCUUUAUACAGGAAGAAACACUCGGACGUGUCCGAACUUGACGGUACUGUAUGAAUAAGCAUCGGCUAACUCCGUG
Molecule: ribosomal RNA, 476 nt
Filed under: uncultured bacterium
Lineage: Bacteria
Description: bacterial SSU rRNA
Rfam family: Bacterial small subunit ribosomal RNA
Source: RNAcentral